AGUCGAGCGGGGGAGGUUACUUCGGUAACUGACCUAGCGGCGGACGGGUGAAUAAUGCUUAGGAAUCUGCCUAUUAGUGGGGGACAACAUUCCGAAAGGAAUGCUAAUACCGCAUACGUCCUACGGGGGAAAGCAGGGGAUCUUCGGACCUUGCGCUAAUAGAUGAGCCUAAGUCGGAUUAGCUAGUUGGUGGGGUAAAGGCCUACCAAGGCGACGAUCUGUAGCGGGUCUGAGGGGAUGAUCCGCCACACUGGGACUGAGACACGGCCCAGACUCCUACGGGAGGCAGCAGUGGGGAAUAUUGGACAAUGGGCGGAAGCCUGAUCCAGCCAUGCCGCGUGUGUGAAGAAGGCCUUUUGGUUGUAAAGCACUUUAAGCGAGGAGGAGGCUCCUUUAGUUAAUACCUAAAGUGAGUGGACGUUACUCGCAGAAUAAGCACCGGCUAACUCUGUGCCAGCAGCCGCGGUAAUACAGAGGGUGCGAGCGUUAAUCGGAUUUACUGGGCGUAAAGCGUGCGUAGGCGGCUUUUUAAGUCGGAUGUGAAAUCCCUGAGCUUAACUUAGGAAUUGCAUUCGAUACUGGAAAGCUAGAGUAUGGGAGAGGAUGGUAGAAUUCCAGGUGUAGCGGUGAAAUGCGUAGAGAUCUGGAGGAAUACCGAUGGCGAAGGCAGCCAUCUGGCCUAAUACUGACGCUGAGGUACGAAAGCAUGGGGAGCAAACAGGAUUAGAUACCCUGGUAGUCCAUGCCGUAAACGAUGUCUACUAGCCGUUGGGGCCUUUGAGGCUUUAGUGGCGCAGCUAACGCGAUAAGUANACCGCCUGGGGAGUACGGUCGCAAGACUAAAACUCAAAUGAAUUGACGGGGGCCCGCACAAGCGGUGGAGCAUGUGGUUUAAUUCGAUGCAACGCGAANAACCUUACCUGGNCCUUGACAUACUAAGAACUUUCCANANAU
RNAcentral lists this ribosomal RNA (954 nucleotides) under uncultured bacterium. RNAcentral describes it as "bacterial SSU rRNA". It matches the Rfam family "Bacterial small subunit ribosomal RNA", at positions 60 to 1007 of the family's 1533-position model. The record is from RNAcentral.